RNAcentral lists this transfer RNA (72 nucleotides) under Bos taurus (domestic cattle). It matches the Rfam family "tRNA". Rfam says of the family: Transfer RNA (tRNA) molecules are approximately 80 nucleotides in length. Their secondary structure includes four short double-helical elements and three loops (D, anti-codon, and T loops). Further hydrogen bonds mediate the characteristic L-shaped molecular structure. tRNAs have two regions of fundamental functional importance: the anti-codon, which is responsible for specific mRNA codon recognition, and the 3' end, to which the tRNAs corresponding amino acid is attached (by aminoacyl-tRNA synthetases). tRNAs cope with the degeneracy of the genetic code in two manners: having more than one tRNA (with a specific anti-codon) for a particular amino acid; and 'wobble' base-pairing, i.e. permitting non-standard base-pairing at the 3rd anti-codon position. RNAcentral also lists the same sequence under 2 other names. The record is from Rfam by way of RNAcentral. Lineage: Eukaryota; Metazoa; Chordata; Mammalia; Artiodactyla; Bovidae.
UCCCUGGUGGCUCAGAUGGAAAAGAACCCACCUGCAAUGUGGGAGACCUGGGUUUGAUCCCUGGCCUGGGGA